UGGUACCUACGGGAGGCAGCAGUGAGGAGUAUUGGUCAAUGGGCUUACGCCUGAACCAGCCACGUCGCGUGAGGGGAGACUGCCCUAUGGGUCGUAAACCUCUUUUGUCAGGGAGCAACGCCGGCUACGUGUAGCCGGACUGAGAGUACCUGAAGAAAAAGCAUCGGCUAACUCCGUGCCAGCAGCCGCGGUAAUACGGAGGAUGCGAGCGUUAUCCGGAUUUAUUGGGUUUAAAGGGUGCGUAGGCGGAAUGCCAAGUCAGCGGUAAAAUCGCGGGGCUCAACCUCGCUCCGCCGUUGACACUG
Molecule: ribosomal RNA, 305 nt
Filed under: uncultured bacterium
Lineage: Bacteria
Description: bacterial SSU rRNA
Rfam family: Bacterial small subunit ribosomal RNA
Source: RNAcentral